UGGGGAAUAUUGGGCAAUGGGCGCAAGCCUGACCCAGCAACGCCGCGUGAAGGAAGAAGGCUUUCGGGUUGUAAACUUCUUUUGUCGAGGAAGAGUAGAAGACUGUACUCGGCGAAUAAGCCACGGCUAACUACGUGCCAGCAGCCGCGGUAAUACGUAGGUGGCAAGCGUUGUCCGGAUUUACUGGGUGUAAAGGGCGUGUAGCCGGGUCGGCAAGUCAGGUGUGUAAUCUAUGAGCUUAACUCAUAAACUGCACUUGAAACUGUUGAUCUUGAGUAUCGGAGAGGCAAUCGGAAUUCCUAGUGUAGCGGUGAAAUGCGUAGAUAUUAGGAGGAACACCAGUGGCGAAGGCGGAUUGCUGGACGACAACUGACGGUGAGGCGCGAAAGCGUGGGGAGCAAACA
This 404-nucleotide ribosomal RNA is filed under the name uncultured Eubacteriales bacterium. RNAcentral's name for it is "bacterial SSU rRNA". It matches the Rfam family "Bacterial small subunit ribosomal RNA", at positions 355 to 774 of the family's 1533-position model. Lineage: Bacteria; Bacillati; Bacillota; Clostridia; Eubacteriales. The record is from RNAcentral.